CCUGCGCGGAAGAUGUAACGGGGCUAAACCAUGCACCGAAGCUGCGGCAGCGACACUAUGUGUUGUUGGGUAGGGGUGCGUUCUGUAAGCCUGUGAAGGUGUACUGUGAGGUAUGCUGGAGGUAUCAGAAGUGCGAAUGCUGACAUAAGUAACGAUAAAGCGGGUGAAAAGCCCGCUCGCCGGAAGACCAAGGGUUCCUGUCCAACGUUAAUCGGGGCAGGGUGAGUCGACCCCUAAGG
This 239-nucleotide ribosomal RNA is filed under the name Escherichia coli. RNAcentral describes it as "partial 23S ribosomal RNA". It matches the Rfam family "Bacterial large subunit ribosomal RNA", at positions 1158 to 1396 of the family's 2925-position model. Lineage: Bacteria; Pseudomonadati; Pseudomonadota; Gammaproteobacteria; Enterobacterales; Enterobacteriaceae. The record is from RNAcentral.